GUAAACUGUACUUACUGAAUACUCCCUCCAUUCCAUAAUUUACUAUACUUAUUUCUUUUUUCCAUAAACCCUAAUUCAUUAAAAUGAAUCUGAAACACUUAAUUUGCAAGCAAACAAUCAACAAAUUAUCAAAUGGAAUUCUAUCUCAAUACCCUCAUUUUCACCAGAAAGCUGCAAUCUUUACAUUCUUGGUUCCGCCCCCCACCUGUUCGACGAAAUGUCACAAUGAUUUUUUCCACUAUAAUCGAAAAAAUGAAACUUGGGGUUGUAAAAGAUUGAUUCACACAGGUGCUGAACAAGUGUUAAUUGAUAAUGCCACAAUGAAUGAGUUCUUAUCAAGAUUUGUUUGGAUAAUGCGUGGUAAACUCAAACCUGAUUUUGACAAGAAAACAAUUGAUGUUAUGCUUUUGGUUAUUGUUGGUAAGGUUGUUGAGGAGUUAGAAAAAGGCGGUUUUGAUCAGAUAGUUGGAGGUGAUUUUAGUGAGGAUUUGUGGAAGACAGUGUGGGAAGUGAGCAAUGUGGUGUUGGAAGAUAUGGAGAAAGCGAAAAGGAAAGAGAAAAUGAAGAGCUUUCUUGAAGCUGAGCAAGUUAAAGACAUGUGUAGGUUUGCUGGCGAAGUUGGUAUUCGCGGAGAGAUGCUUAGGGAGUUAAGGUUCAAAUGGGCGCGCGAGAAAAUGGAGGAGAGUGAGUUUUAUCAGAGUCUUGAACGUCGUCUUAAGGAAGAAGAAGAGGAGGAGGAUAGUGUCGGAGAAAGUGAAGUUGUGUCUCUUCCCAAAAGGCGUGGGAAGAUUAACUACAAGAUUUAUGGACUUGAUUUGUCCGAUUCGAAAUGGUCUCAAGUGGCUGAUAAGGUUCAUGAGGCUGAGAAAAUCAUAUGGCCUCAAGAACCAAAACCAAUAGCUGGCAAGUGCAAAAUUAUUACUGAGAAUAUACUUUCGUCAGAAGUUGAAGAUGAUCCUUCUUCACUUCUAGGAGAAUGGGUAGAACUUCUCCAACCUAGUAGGGUAGACUGGAUGAAUUUACUUGAUAGAUUGAAGGAACAAAAUGCUCAUCUUUAUUUGAAGAUUGCAGAGCAUGUGCUUGGCGAAGAGUCCUUCCAAACAAACAUACGUGACUACUCAAAACUCAUUGAUGCCCAUGCUAGAGAUAACCGGCUAGAAGAUGCCGAGAGAAUUAUCAAAAAGAUGAGUGAAAAUGGGAUUGGACCUGAUAUUCUCACAUCAACAACCAUGGUUCACAUGUACAGCAAAGCAGGUAACCUGGAUCGAGCAAAAGCUGCAUUUGAGAGCUUGAGAAUUCAAGGAUUCUUACCAGACGUGGGGGUUUACAAAUCCAUGAUCCUAGCCUAUGUAAAUGCUGGUCAGCCAAAGUUGGGUGAAUCAUUAAUGAGGGAAAUGGAGGCAAGAGACAUCAAGCCUUCUAAGGAGAUCUUUAUGGCUCUCCUAAGGUCAUUUGCUCAGCAUGGUGAUGUUAAUGGAGCCCAAAGAAUAGCAAGUACAAUGCAGUUUUCAGGAUUUCAGCCCACUUUAGAGUCAUGCACAUCACUUGUUGAGGCAUAUGGAAAAGCUGGUGACUCUGAUCAGGCAAGGCAUAAUUUUGAUUACAUGAUCAAACUUGGACACAAGCCAGAUGAUAGAUGCACUGCUAGCAUGAUAGCAGCUUAUGAGAAGAAGAACCUGCUGGAUAAAGCCUUAAAUCUUCUAUUGGAGCUUGAGAAAGAUGGCUUUGAGCCUGGGGUGGUUACUUACUCGGUUUUGGUGGAUUGGAUGGGUAAAAUGCAGCUAAUUGAUGAGGCUGAACAGUUCUUGGAUAAAAUUGCUGAGCAGGGUGAGGCUCCUCCAUUUAACGUUCAUAUUGGCCUAUGUGACAUGUAUGCAAGAGCUAAUGUUGAGAAAAAGGCUCUUCAAGCUCUUGGAGUUCUGGAGGCCAAAAACGAGCAGUUGGGAGCAGAAGAAUUCGAGAGGAUUAUACGGUCACUUAUAGCUGGUGGAUUUGUGCAAGACGCUCAAAAGUUUCAAGGAUUGAUGGAAGCUCGGGGAUAUACGGUAUCCGAGCAACUUCGAGUAACACUCAACGCGUCUCAAACUUUUUUUCGCAGGAGACCAUCUCUGUCUUCCUUGUGGGCAUAUAUAUGGUUUGUCAUGUAUCAAAAAGUGGGUGCAACAAAAGGGAAGUUUAGGAAAGUGCCCUCAAUGUAAUAAGAAAUGCACAGUGAAGGGUAUCCGAGUACUUUAUGCUUGUCGACUUCAUGCUGUCGAUGAAGAGCUUCAAAAGAAAAUCCGGUCUCUUGAAGCUAGAUGUUUUUCUCUUAAAAAAGAGUGUACAGACUGGUGUAAGAAAGAAAUUGAGUGGAGGAGGAGAGAAGCUGAGUUGCAUAAGCAAGUGGAGCACCUCAAAGAG
This is an RNA transcript of Lycium ferocissimum, 2400 nucleotides long. It is a transcript of the gene named pentatricopeptide repeat-containing protein At2g32630-like, with no coding region annotated. The transcript is spliced from 6 exons. NCBI's taxonomy places the organism in Eukaryota, Viridiplantae, Streptophyta, Magnoliopsida, Solanales, Solanaceae. The record is from RefSeq and is a predicted model, not a curated record.